RNAcentral lists this ribosomal RNA (253 nucleotides) under uncultured bacterium. Its description in RNAcentral is "partial 16S ribosomal RNA". It matches the Rfam family "Bacterial small subunit ribosomal RNA", at positions 524 to 776 of the family's 1533-position model. The record is from RNAcentral.
UACGGGGGGGGCAAGCGUUGUUCGGAAUUACUGGGCGUAAAGGGCUCGUAGGUGGCCAACUAAGUCAGACGUGAAAUCCCUCGGCUUAACCGGGGAACUGCGUCCGAUACUGGUUGGCUUGAAUUCGGGAGAGGGAUGUGGAAUUCCAGGUGUAGCGGUGAAAUGCGUAGAUAUCUGGAGGAACACCGGUGGCGAAGGCGGCAUCCUGGACCGAUAUUGACGCUGAUGCGCGAAAGCCAGGGGAGCAAACGGG